GGUUAAGUGACUAAGCGUACACGGUGGAUGCCUUGGCAGUCAGAGGCGAUGAAAGACGUAGUAACUUGCGAUAAGCCCAGAUUAGGUAGUAACAACCAUUUGAGUCUGGGAUUUCUGAAUGGGGAAACCCACGUGCAUAAGCACGUAUCCUUACCUGAAUACAUAGGGUAAGGAGGCGAACCGGGGAACUGAAACAUCUAAGUACCCCGAGGAAAAGAAAUCAAUCGAGAUUCCGAAAGUAGCGGCGAGCGAAAUUGGACUAGCCCUUAAGCUUUACACGCGUUAGACGAACGGUCUGGAAAGUCCGACGAUACAGGGUGAUAGUCCCGUAGUUGACGACGUGUGUUCAGUGAAAUCGAGUAGGGCGGGACACGUGAUAUCCUGUCUGAAUAUGGGGGACCAUCCUCCAAGGCUAAAUACUACUGACUGACCGAUAGUGAACCAGUACCGUGAGGGAAAGGCGAAAAGAACCCCUGUGAGGGAGUGAAAUAGAACCUGAAACCGUGUACGUACAAGCAGUAGGAGCAGGCUUUGUCCUGUGACUGCGUACCUUUUGUAUAAUGGGUCAGCGACUUAUAUUCAGUGGCAAGGUUAACCAUCUAGGGGAGCCGUAGGGAAACCGAGUCUUAACUGGGCGUUCAGUCUCUGGAUAUAGACCCGAAACCAGGUGAUCUAGCCAUGGGCAGGUUGAAGGUUGAGUAACAUCAACUGGAGGACCGAACCGACUAAUGUUGAAAAAUUAGCGGAUGACUUGUGGCUAGGGGUGAAAGGCCAAUCAAACCUGGAGAUAGCUGGUUCUCCCCGAAAGCUAUUUAGGUAGCGCCUCGGACGAAUACUACUGGGGGUAGAGCACUGUUAAGGCUAGGGGUCAUCCCGACUUACCAACCCUUUGCAAACUCCGAAUACCAGUAAGUACUAUCCGGGAGACACACGGCGGGUGCUAACGUCCGUCGUGGAGAGGGAAACAACCCAGACCGCCAGCUAAGGUCCCAAAUUACUACUAAGUGGGAAACGAUGUGGGAAGGCUCAGACAGCCAGGAUGUUGGCUUAGAAGCAGCCAUCAUUUAAAGAAAGCGUAAUAGCUCACUGGUCGAGUCGGCCUGCGCGGAAGAUGUAACGGGGCUAAGUAGUAAACCGAAGCUGCGGCAAUGUGCUUUUGCACAUUGGGUAGGGGAGCGUUCUGUAAGCGGUUGAAGGUGUGUGGUAACGCAUGCUGGACGUAUCAGAAGUGCGAAUGCUGACAUGAGUAACGAUAAAGGGGUGAAAAACCUCCUCGCCGGAAGACCAAGGGUUCCUGUCCAACGUUAAUCGGGGCAGGGUAAGUCGACCCCUAAGGCGAGGCCGAAAGGCGUAGUCGAUGGGAAACGGGUUAAUAUUCCCGUACUUCUUACAAUUGCGAUGGGGGACGGAGAAGGCUAGGUGGGCCUGGCGACGGUUGUCCAGGUUCAAGUGCGUAGGCUUAAGAGUUAGGUAAAUCCGGCUCUUUCUAAGGCUGAGACACGACGUCGAGCACCUACGGGUGUGAAGUCAUUGAUGCCAUGCUUCCAGGAAAAGCCUCUAAGCUUCAGAUUGUAAGGAAUCGUACCCCAAACCGACACAGGUGGUCGGGUAGAGAAUACCAAGGCGCUUGAGAGAACUCGGGUGAAGGAACUAGGCAAAAUGGUACCGUAACUUCGGGAGAAGGUACGCUCUUGAUGGUGAAGUCCCUUGCGGAUGGAGCUGACGAGAGUCGCAGAUACCAGGUGGCUGCAACUGUUUAUUAAAAACACAGCACUGUGCAAAAUCGUAAGAUGACGUAUACGGUGUGACGCCUGCCCGGUGCCGGAAGGUUAAUUGAUGGGGUUAGACUUCGGUCGAAGCUCUUGAUCGAAGCCCCGGUAAACGGCGGCCGUAACUAUAACGGUCCUAAGGUAGCGAAAUUCCUUGUCGGGUAAGUUCCGACCUGCACGAAUGGCGUAAUGAUGGCCACGCUGUCUCCACCCGAGACUCAGUGAAAUUGAAAUCGCUGUGAAGAUGCAGUGUACCCGCGGCUAGACGGAAAGACCCCGUGAACCUUUACUACAGCUUGGCACUGAACAUUGACCCUACAUGUGUAGGAUAGGUGGGAGGCUUUGAAGCAGGUACGCCAGUAUCUGUGGAGCCGUCCUUGAAAUACCACCCUUGUAGUGUUGAUGUUCUAACGUCGACCCCUAAUCGGGGUUGCGGACAGUGCCUGGUGGGUAGUUUGACUGGGGCGGUCUCCUCCCAAAGAGUAACGGAGGAGCACGAAGGUGGGCUAAUCACGGUUGGACAUCGUGAGGUUAGUGCAAUGGCAUAAGCCCGCUUGACUGCGAGAAUGACAAUUCGAGCAGGUGCGAAAGCAGGUCAUAGUGAUCCGGUGGUUCUGAAUGGAAGGGCCAUCGCUCAACGGAUAAAAGGUACUCCGGGGAUAACAGGCUGAUACCGCCCAAGAGUUCAUAUCGACGGCGGUGUUUGGCACCUCGAUGUCGGCUCAUCACAUCCUGGGGCUGAAGUCGGUCCCAAGGGUAUGGCUGUUCGCCAUUUAAAGUGGUACGCGAGCUGGGUUUAGAACGUCGUGAGACAGUUCGGUCCCUAUCUGCCGUGGGCGUUGGAAGAUUGAAGGGGCUGCUCCUAGUACGAGAGGACCGGAGUGGACGAACCUCUGGUGUUCGGGUUGUGUCGCCAGACGCAUUGCCCGGUAGCUAAGUUCGGAAUCGAUAACCGCUGAAAGCAUCUAAGCGGGAAGCGAGCCCUGAGAUGAGUCUUCCCUGAUACUUUAAGUAUCCUAAAGGGUUGUCGGAGACUACGACGUUGAUAGGUCAGGUGUGUAAGUGCUGUGAGGCAUUGAGCUAACUGAUACUAAUUGCCCGUGAGGCUUAACCAU
Molecule: ribosomal RNA, 2884 nt
Filed under: Vibrio parahaemolyticus
Lineage: Bacteria; Pseudomonadati; Pseudomonadota; Gammaproteobacteria; Vibrionales; Vibrionaceae
Description: 23S ribosomal RNA
Rfam family: Bacterial large subunit ribosomal RNA
Source: RNAcentral